UACGUAGGGUGCGAGCGUUAAUCGGAAUUACUGGGCGUAAAGCGUGCGCAGGCGGUUCGUUGUGUCGGCGGUGAAAGCCCCGGGCUUAACCUGGGAAUGGCCGUUGAAACUGGCGAACUGGAGUGUGGCAGAGGGGGGGUGGAAUUCCGCGUGUAGCAGUGAAAUGCGUAGAGAUGCGGAGGAACACCGAUGGCGGAAGGCAGCCCCCUGGGCUGACACUGACGCUCAGGCACGAAAGCGUGGGGGAGCAAACAGG
Molecule: ribosomal RNA, 256 nt
Filed under: uncultured bacterium
Lineage: Bacteria
Description: partial 16S ribosomal RNA
Rfam family: Bacterial small subunit ribosomal RNA
Source: RNAcentral